UUUAAGAAUGUUGAAUAUUGGCCCCCACUCUCUUCUGGCUUGUAGAGUUUCUGCCGAGAGAUCCGCUGUUAGUCUGAUGGGCUUCCCUUUGUGGGUAACCCGACCUUUCUCUCUGGCUGCCCUUAACAUUUUUUCCUUCAUUUCAACGUUGGUGAAUCUGACAAUUAUGUGUCUUGGAGUUGCUCUUCUCGAUGAGUAUCUUUGUGGCAUUCUCUGUAUUUCCUCAAUCUGAAUGUUGGCCUUCCUUGCUAGAUUGGGGAAGUUCUCCUGGAUAAUAUCCUGCAGAGUGUUUUCCAACUUGCUUCCAUUCUCCCCGUCACUUUCAGAUACACCAAUCAGACGUAGAUUUGGUCUUUUCACAUAGUCCCAUAUUUCUUGGAGGCUUUGUUCGUUUCUUUUUAUUCUUGUUUUCUCUAAACUUCCCUUCUCGCUUCAUUUCAUUCAUUUCAUCUUCCGUUAUUGAUACCUUUUCUUCCAGUUGAUCGCAUCGGCUCAUGAGGCUUCUGCAUUCUUCACGUAGUUCUCGAGCCUUGGCUUUCAGCUCCAUCAGCUCCUUUAAG
This 560-nucleotide long non-coding RNA is filed under the name Pan troglodytes (chimpanzee). Its description in RNAcentral is "long non-coding RNA NONPTRT014681". The record is from RNAcentral. Lineage: Eukaryota; Metazoa; Chordata; Mammalia; Primates; Hominidae.